This 75-nucleotide transfer RNA is filed under the name SAR202 cluster bacterium Io17-Chloro-G3. RNAcentral describes it as "tRNA-Gly". It matches the Rfam family "tRNA". Rfam says of the family: Transfer RNA (tRNA) molecules are approximately 80 nucleotides in length. Their secondary structure includes four short double-helical elements and three loops (D, anti-codon, and T loops). Lineage: Bacteria; Bacillati; Chloroflexota; Dehalococcoidia. RNAcentral also lists the same sequence under 5 other names. The record is from RNAcentral.
GCGGGAGUAACUCAGCGGUAGAGUUCCUGCCUUCCAAGCAGGCUGUCGCCGGUUCGAAUCCGGUCUCCCGCUCCA